UACGUAGGUCCCGAGCGUUGUCCGGAUUUAUUGGGCGUAAAGCGAGCGCAGGUGGUUUAUUAAGUCUGGUGUAAAAGGCAGUGGCUCAACCAUUGUAUGCAUUGGAAACUGGGGGACUUGAGUGCAGGAGAGGAGAGUGGAAUUACAUGUGUGGCGGUGAAAUGCGUAGAUAUAUGGAGGAACACCGGUGGCGAAAGCGGCUCUCUGGCCUGUAACUGACACUGAGGCUCGAAAGCGUGGGGAGCAAACAGG
Molecule: ribosomal RNA, 252 nt
Filed under: uncultured bacterium
Lineage: Bacteria
Description: partial 16S ribosomal RNA
Rfam family: Bacterial small subunit ribosomal RNA
Source: RNAcentral